AUAUAUAGAGUCCGGCUAUGGUGCUUAUAAAAGUACCAAGUAUUUAGGUACUUGUAAAUUUUUUACCGUUAGAUCUACGCCUUUGAUCAUUUUCACCCGUUAGAUUAUACUAUUCAACCAACCACCCACUUAACCCUAGGGGACCCACAUCAUCUUAACCGCACAUCCCUUAAUCCAAGGGCUAAAAACUUACAAGCACCAAUGACUUGGUACUUUUAAAAGCAUAGGAGCUCAAUUCUAUAUAUAUAUAUAUAUAUAUAUAUAUAUAUAUUAAAAAUAUUUUUAAAUACAAUAUAUUUUAAUUAUAUUUGGGCUGAAUUAUUUGAGUUUAUUUUAAUUGGGCCAUUGUUGUUGCCUUGUUGGCCCAUAAAACAAACCCAACAAAAGAAAUCACUCUAAAUUCACCCACUCAACUCUUUUACAAAACCCUAAAAUCCCAAUACCCAAAUCCUAAAAUCCUAAUCUUUUCCUCUCAUCUCAGGCUCUCAGCCUCUCACUCUCUCUUUUUCCCUCACACCGACUCCGAGUCUCCAAUUAAUAGGGCACCCAGCCACCCACCACUCACCAGUUACCAGUCACCACCGGUCCACCACCAAGCUUGUUUGUUGGCUCUAUUGCCCACGAUCCACCUCGUGCCGCUGUAGCCGAGCUCAUUGCCCAACGUCACCCCAAGCCCCAACCUCGUCUACUGCCGUCGCGAAACUCGUCGGCCACUGCCACGCGCCGUCGCCUCGACCUCGUCGGCCGCCGUUGCCGACCUCGUUGGCCACUGUCAUCGCAACCUCGACAACACAAGUGCUGACCUCGGCCGCUGCUGUCACUGCAGCCUCGACGCGGCCGCCG
RNAcentral lists this long non-coding RNA (843 nucleotides) under Ananas comosus (pineapple). Its description in RNAcentral is "long non-coding RNA (ACOM_LNC043914)". The record is from RNAcentral. Lineage: Eukaryota; Viridiplantae; Streptophyta; Magnoliopsida; Poales; Bromeliaceae.